Molecule: unclassified non-coding RNA, 269 nt
Filed under: fungal sp.
Lineage: Eukaryota; Fungi
Description: partial internal transcribed spacer region
Rfam family: Eukaryotic small subunit ribosomal RNA (bases 1-46)
Source: RNAcentral
AAGUCGUAACAAGGUUUCCGUAGGUGAACCUGCGGAAGGAUCAUUGACAAAUCUAAACACUGUUGCUUGGAGUGGGAGUCCGCUCUCGCUUCAAGUAUACAACACAUCUUAACCUGUGAAUUGGCAGUGCGCAAGUGCUGUUGUUUGGCAUAGCAGCAGAUAGCACGUUAAGUGUCUAGCUCUGUUCCUUGCCUAAACAUUUACGUAAACUAUUGUCUUAACAAACAACAAACAAAAUACAACUUUUAGCAAUGGAUCUCUUGGCUUCU